RNAcentral lists this ribosomal RNA (387 nucleotides) under Xerotricha apicina. RNAcentral's name for it is "partial 16S ribosomal RNA". It matches the Rfam family "Bacterial large subunit ribosomal RNA", at positions 1947 to 2619 of the family's 2925-position model. Lineage: Eukaryota; Metazoa; Mollusca; Gastropoda; Stylommatophora; Hygromiidae. The record is from RNAcentral.
UGUGCAAAGGUAGCAUAAUCAUUUGGCUUAUAAUUGAAGUCUUGUAUGAAAGAACUAAUGGGUAAGAGCUGUCUUAAGAGGUUUCAUAGAAAUUGCUUAGCACGUGAAAAUACGUGCAGGGAAUUAAUAGACGAGAAGACCCUAGAAAUUUUAUUUAAGAUAUAUAUUAUAUAUUAUUAUUUUGUUGGGGCGACAGAAUAACAUUAAACUUAUUUUAUUUAUUUAUUUGAACUAUGUGAUGAGUAAAACUAAAUUACUCUAGGGAUAACAGCAUAAUUUAUACAAGUUUGUGACCUCGAUGUUGGACUAGGGAUUUUAUCGUUUAGAAGACGCCGAAACAAGCUCUGUUCGAGCUAUAUAUCCCUACAUGAUCUGAGUUCAAAUCGA